This 482-nucleotide ribosomal RNA is filed under the name uncultured bacterium. RNAcentral's name for it is "partial 16S ribosomal RNA". It matches the Rfam family "Bacterial small subunit ribosomal RNA", at positions 28 to 523 of the family's 1533-position model. The record is from RNAcentral.
AGUGAACGUUGGCGGCGUGGAUUAGGCAUGCAAGUCGAGCGAGAACCGUAGCAAUACGGGGACAGCGGCGAAAGGGACAGUAAUGUGUAGGUACCUACCUCCGGGUUCGGGAUAGCUGCGGGAAACUGCAGGUAAUACCGAAUAACGUCUCCGGAUCAAAGGUGUGAUUCCACCUGGAGAGGGGCCUGCAUCCUAUUAGCUAGUUGGGGAGGUAACGGCUCACCAAGGCGACGAUGGGUAGCGGGUGUGAGAGCACGACCCGCGUCAUUGGGACUGAGACACUGCCCAGACACCUACGGGUGGCUGCAGUCGAGGAUCUUCGGCAAUGGGCGCAAGCCUGACCGAGCGACGCCGCGUGCGGGAUGAAGGCCUUCGGGUUGUAAACCGCUGUCGUAGAGGAGGAAAUGCAGGGGGGUUCUCCCCUCUGUUUGACCUAUUCUAGGAGGAAGGACGGGCUAAGUUCGUGCCAGCAGCCGCCGUAA